This 2636-nucleotide long non-coding RNA is filed under the name Amborella trichopoda. Its description in RNAcentral is "long non-coding RNA (ATRI_LNC003726)". The record is from RNAcentral. Lineage: Eukaryota; Viridiplantae; Streptophyta; Magnoliopsida; Amborellales; Amborellaceae.
GCUUGACAUAGUCUCCGAGAUGACCUAUGUUUGUUUGGAAGCAAAAGUGCUCUCUUUCUCCCUCCCGUUGUUGCCUGAUGGGAAUGUUCUACCAGUGUUCCCGCUGCCGAUAUACCUAUCUAUAGUGUAGUGGUGGUGUAGCGCGUUAGGGAGAUCAGUCUCAUCCAUAUCAAUAACCAAGUGGGGGCUUUCUUAAGAUUUGGCGAGCUACGUGCUCUUUAUCUCCCCCUCCCAUUAGUUUAGUUAGGAAAAAACGGUGGGCGUCCUCCGGUCCGCAUUGCGUUUGAUGAAAUGGCAGCUGACGUUCAACAAUGAAUGCAGAUAUAUGAUUUAUGUGCCAUUCGAUGAGUUCAUGUGCGCUGCCUCACCCCCUGGAUAUGGAGGCCAAUCUGUCCGCGUAACCAUCUCAUCUGGCCGUUCAUGCGGGCGUUUAGCCUGCCAAACCUUUCAAGUCAUUUCUGAUUGCAGAAUACAAGGGACCUUGCCUGAGAGGGGAAGGUUUAGAGAAAGACCCCUUGAAGGUGGCUAGGCUAGUGCAACAGGCCAAGUCGGGAGCUACUAGUAGGUUUUGGAUCAAGGAUGGGCUCUUGAUCACCAGAGGGAAUUGCCUCUACGUGCCCAAGGUUGGAGACUUCACUUAAGGAAGGAGAUAUUAAGGGAGUGCCAUGAUACACGGCUGGUCACCCAGGGCAGCGGAGGACACUGGCCCUUAUAGCACGAGGUUACUACUGAAGCUCUAGAAAGGCAUAUGUGGUAGUUUAUGUAGUUACCAAAAUCAAGUUUUUCUAAAAUGUUGGGUUGGAUAACCCUAUUAGUUGUUGUGGGUCAAUGAUGCUCGAGCAUGUACUUCUUUUGAGUUCCUAUUCAUUUUAUAUAAGUUUUUAUGGAUUGAUCACAGGCGGUUAGGAGAGCAGCUUUUUUGCCCACUUCUCUUACUGAUGUGGCAUUUGGCCUUCAAAGAGAUGAUUCAAUAGCAGCCUACUCUGGGCAUGAAUAUGAUACUAAAGUCCCUCUGUGCAUCCUACUACUAGCAGCUCCUUCUAUGUCCCUUCUUAUACUAUGCAUUAUGCUCCUCGAAGCAAGGAAGUGAGAGCACCAGGAAGAGCAGAUAGGUUGUUUGUGAAAGAAGGGCACAGGCCAUUGUUCUCUAUCAAUUUCUUCGUUUUCUGACCCCUGAUGAUAGAUCAAUCGUUGAUUGGCUUAAAGUGUCAAAUAAGGUAUUCGUUAAGCCUCUGGAACUUGAAUUUUGGUAAUCAGCCUAUCUUAGUAUGCUUUCUUAUCUUUUUGGAGUGCCUAAAGACAAGUGAACGAAGUGGCCCUUUGGUAAGGAAGACGAGUGAACAGGGAGAGUUGAAAGCGCUUACUAGUGAGUGAGGAGGGAAAGCAGCCUCCCUUUCUAAAGGGAAUUUGCCUGCAAUACGAGUCAGGGGAAUGGAUCUCACUUGAACCUCUACCCUAUGUCUUGCCUUAUUUCAAUGCUUGAAAACCGGAUGAACGACUUUCAAAGCAAACAUUCUUAUUCAUCCAUCUAGGAGUGAAAGCCCGGUAUUCAUAUAAAAGAGAAGAGGUAAGCAGCAUAAGCAGCAAAGGGGGAGCGGCGGCGGGUGAAAGCCGAGCAAGAAAGCCGCUGCUCUUAAGGAGCGAAUAAAUAAUAGCGCUAGCGCACUCUCUCAAAGCUACUUAUGGUUGAGGCUUACUACAAAAAUUGGCCGAUAAAAAGUGAGCGUGCGGCGUGCGAAAGCCGUUGUUGCGGCUUUCUUACUGGAAGAGGGAAAGGCCAAUAAAAUAUUUGAUUGUUUAAGUAACCCCGAAAGAGCAGACUAAAUCGAUAGGAGAGGUCGUCCCGCGAAAGAAAUGAAUAAAGCCUAAGAACUUCUUUACUUUCUUUUAAAUACUAGAAAUAUAAUUUAAUAGAAUGUUUUGCCCGUAUUUUUUCUACACCUCUGACCCCCACCCUUAUUUGUUGACAUAAUUUGGAUGACCGGUCGCCCCUACCCUAUUAGUAGCGUCUGGCUAUAGGUAUCGAAUGUAUAAAUUCUAUGUCAGUGAGCUUUCUUUGUUCCGCGCGUCCGCGCGCAUGCACGUGUACUCCGCGCACGGCCGUACGGGCGAGUAGCUAGAGCUAGGAGCUGGCUAGCUAGUAGCGAGUGAGUAGCUAGAGCUAGCUAGUAGCGAGUGAGUAGCUAGAGCUAGCUAGUAGCGAGUGAGUAGCUAAAGCUAGCUAGUAAUAUCAAUAACUGAACUGCUUCCUAACUACUACAAGUUCUUACCUAAAAGCUUCCUAACUAAAGCUACUAGUACUCUGCUACUAUACUAGUACUGAAACCAAGCAGCUACCUACGCUUGCUUGUUUUCGGCGAAAAGGUACUGAACCAAGCUACUAGUACUGAAACCUACCAGCUACCUACAAGUACUUGAAGCUUGUUUUAGGCGAACAAAACAAGGUACUAUACUAGCAGCUACUAGUACCUAGCUACUAGCUGCUACUAGCUACCAGCCAUACACUAACCUGCUUGCUUUACUUGAACCUGCUUGCUUGCCUUAGCUACUAGCUUGAACCUACUAAACCUAAACUAAACUUAACUCAACCUACAACGAGUUCAGUCGUUAAGCUACUUGAGAGUUCAGUCGUUAAG